GUGUUCACUUAGCAGCACAGAUAAUACAGCUGAAAAAAAUCAGAAAAAAUGACCAUGGCACCUUCUAAAGACGACACACAACUUCAUGAAGAAUUGUGUAUUUUC
Molecule: small nuclear RNA, 105 nt
Filed under: Equus asinus (donkey)
Lineage: Eukaryota; Metazoa; Chordata; Mammalia; Perissodactyla; Equidae
Source: RNAcentral